GUUUGAUCAUGGCUCAGAAUCAACGCUGGCGGCGUGCCUCAGACAUCCAAGUCGAACGAUUAAGACUUCCUUCGGGAAGUGCAUAAAGUGGCGCACGGGUGAGUAACACGUAAGUAAUCUACCCUCGAGUGGGGAAUAACGUUCGGAAACGGACGCUAAUACCGCAUAACGCAGCGGCACCGCAAGGUGACAGUUGUUAAAGGAGCAAUCCGCUUGAGGAGGAGCUUGCGGCAGAUUAGCUAGUUGGUAGGGUAAUGGCUUACCAAGGCUACGAUCUGUAUCCGGUCUAAGAGGACGGUCGGACACACUGACACUGAAUAACGGGUCAGACUCCUACGGGAGGCAGCAGUCGGGAAUUUUGGGCAAUGGGCGAAAGCCUGACCCAGCAACGCCGCGUGAAGGAUGAAGUAUUUCGGUAUGUAAACUUCGAAAGAAUAGGAAGAAUAAAUGACGGUACUAUUUAUAAGCUCCGGCUAACUACGUG
Molecule: ribosomal RNA, 484 nt
Filed under: uncultured bacterium
Lineage: Bacteria
Description: bacterial SSU rRNA
Rfam family: Bacterial small subunit ribosomal RNA
Source: RNAcentral